RNAcentral lists this long non-coding RNA (631 nucleotides) under Nicotiana benthamiana. RNAcentral describes it as "long non-coding RNA (NBEN_LNC008007)". The record is from RNAcentral. Lineage: Eukaryota; Viridiplantae; Streptophyta; Magnoliopsida; Solanales; Solanaceae.
ACCUCAAUUGGAUACUAAGAAAACAGAAAUUAAAAAAAAAGGAGGAGGAGCGCAGCUUUUGCAAAAAGGGACCCCCUCCUGAAGCUUCAUCCUCUCCAAACGACCCCCACUCCCUGAUUUCGUGGUCUCAUUCAUACCCCCAGCGCCAACGUCCUCUUCUUCAAUCUUCAUGCCAAAGAGACCACAGAGAGAAAUUGUUUUUCCAUUAGAGAGGAGUUGUUGUCGCUCUUUUUGUCUCCCUCCUCAGUAACUCGCCGAAAGAAACGAGCUUCGGCAGUUCGCCAGAUUGACGAGCUUAAGCAGAAAACCGGCGACGACUGCUACCCCCGCAUUUUUGAAGAAACGAGCUUCGGCAGUUUGCCAGAUUGACGAGCUUAAGCAGAAAGCCGGCGACGACUGCUACCCCCGCAUUUUUGUUUCUUCUCUAUUACUACUGCAACAAAGGUAAUGUUUCUGGUGAGAUCAAGUUCAACAAAAGCUUUGUUCGUUGGUUGCUAGUUCCAUUCGAGAUUCCUGCGAGGUCCCGGAGUUGCUGUUUUUCUAUUCGAUUCCAGUCAAAGUUUUGAUCCUUCAAUGUCUUUUGCCAAAUUGCUCAAAAAAAAAUUUGGCUCCAUCUCCCUAUGAUUCCUAC